Molecule: long non-coding RNA, 348 nt
Filed under: Bos indicus x Bos taurus (hybrid cattle)
Lineage: Eukaryota; Metazoa; Chordata; Mammalia; Artiodactyla; Bovidae
Description: lncRNA (ENSBIXG00005012966.1)
Source: RNAcentral
AUGAAGCCCUCGACCUUGGAGAAAUUUCUUCAUUGUAAAACUGGACCCUGGACCUAUCUGGCUCCUGGAGAAAUUUACUUACCUUUCAAAGACCCACUAUGUCAUCAAGGAGAUCUUUUAAGAGAGGAGGAGGAGGAAUCUAAAGAAGCCGGCCUUUGGGUUACAUAUGUAUAAGCAUAUUCUCCGAUGAACUUCCCAGAUUGAAGCUGAUCAAAUGACUCAUUAACAGAAAACCACGUGAGAUACCAACACAUCACAAGAGCUUCUUAACAACGACGAACCAUUAAUACCUAGUAAGUCAUUAAUAGUGAAUCUAAAUAGCAACUCCCCUCCUGAUGGCAUUGUAAG